Molecule: long non-coding RNA, 963 nt
Filed under: Brassica rapa (field mustard)
Lineage: Eukaryota; Viridiplantae; Streptophyta; Magnoliopsida; Brassicales; Brassicaceae
Description: long non-coding RNA (BRAP_LNC004819)
Source: RNAcentral
ACAAUAUUAAACACAGUGUAAAUGUAAAUCACCUUUUCAUUCAAUAUGAAUCUAAAUAACAUAUGAUUUAAAAAUUGAGAAUAUAUAUUAUUUAAGUGUAAAAAUAGAAUUUAAAAUUAUCAUUAUAAUAAUAUAAAAUCAGGUAUCUUAAUUUGAUAACAUAAAUAAAAGGAUUAUUUUUUAAAAAUAAUUAAAUUGAUAUAUAAAAUAAAUAUAUAUUUAAAAUUAAACAAAAAAUUAACAAAAAUAAAAAUAUUGAAAAAGAAAUAAAGUUUUAAAAAAUAUUUAUAAAUAAUCACGUAUGUAAAAAUAAAUAAAAAGCAGCACAAAAUUAUAAAAAUAUAAAUUAAAAUUUGUAAAAAUUAUCUUUAAAGUUAGAUUGAUAUUUAUAGCUAAUUAUGAAAAACUUAAUAUAAUAAGAGAUUGACAAGAAAAAAUCUAAUUAUGUUUAUAACCUUUAAUACGAUAUGGACUAUAUGCUUUAAAAAUCUGAAAUAACUGAAAAUACCAUUAAAAAUAUUUAAAGUCAGCAUAUUAAGUUAAUAUUUUUAUAAAUCUUAAAUUUUAUAAAAAAAACGAAACAAACAAAAUGAAAAAAAAAAUGCUUACUUGAUAUAUAUGCUAACUCUUCAUUAAUUAAAGUCAGAAUUAUAAAAUUAUGUCUUAAAGUAUGUCAAAACAUACAAAUAGAUUAUAAAUCAAAAUAAAAUAAAUAAUUAAUAUCAUAAUACUUAAUAUGAUAAAAUUAAUAUAAAGGUAAACUGAGAUUUAGUAUUUGUUUUUUUUUUUCAUUUAUAUUGGUCUCAGCUAUAAAAUAUUAUAAAUUUAUAAUAUGUUAUAUGAGUUUCUUAGAAAAAUAAUGGUUGAUUGUGAUUCUUUUUUUACCGAGCAAAUUUAUUAUUUAAAUAAAUUAGCUGAAAAUUCAAAUAAUAUUUACAAAUAAUAUUGACAUUAGAGUAUAGU